Symphalangus syndactylus (siamang) is the source of this 901-nucleotide long non-coding RNA. RefSeq lists it as uncharacterized. NCBI's taxonomy places the organism in Eukaryota, Metazoa, Chordata, Mammalia, Primates, Hylobatidae. The record is from RefSeq and is a predicted model, not a curated record.
UUAAUCUAAAAAUAUGAACAGAGUAUAUUGAGAAAAGAAAGGGAAAGAAAAAAAAUCUGGUAAAAUGGAUCUAACAGUGGAUACAAAAUGGCUGUGCCUGAUAGUACCUGGUCUGAGGAUUGUGGGAAAAAAAAGGGAAGACAAGGCUGGAAGGAGAGAGGGAUGGAGAGAAAGGAAGUUGGUUGAGAAUGUGUCAUCCCUGUGAAAGCUCUUUCCAGUCACAAAUGUGGUGGUUUAUUUAUGAGUGUCUCAUCGUUUCUAAACAUUUGGGUAUUUUAUAAAACAUCCAUAGUAAUGGAAAGAUAAAUAUGCUGAAAUAAAAUUUUACAGAAUGGAUGUUUACACAAUCUUAAAAUUUUAUUUCCUUAUUUUUUUUCUCUCAGUGCCUUUUGAGAACCUAUUGAAAUCCCUCCAGCAAAAUGCAAAUGAGCACAGAAACCUGCAAGUACUGCACCGAGGCCCAUGGACCUAGUGGAGCUGAUGGAUCAUAGAUUCUACAGUUUUAAUUCCUAGUGGCCUGAGUAAGGCAGAUUCACGUGAUCAUUCUUCUGUCUCUUCGUUUAGGACAGUUUGAAAGGAGUCCAAAUGCCACAAGAUUUUAUUCUGCUCAUCAAUGCCACAUCUUUGAUGGCACCUAAAAACUGCUCUCCACUGAAGGACCCUGAAUCCUGAAAUCCAGGUAAUUCCUUCAUUACUGUCAUCCAAACUUCAUUCAUAAGUGAAUUCACUCUUUCUUCAUUCAUUCACUCAAAAACUAAGUAAUCUAAAUAGCCCCAUUGUUUGAUUUAAGCAAUUCAUAGUAAGAUGUGAAAAUCUUGGUGAAAUAUAGAUGGUAAUAUGCAGUGGUGAUGGAGAGAGCCCUCUAAAAAUUUCCAGGGUAUCUGGCUUUCAUCAGUGAAAA